UGUCAGAAUGGCCAUGACCGUUAGUUAGACGCAACAAGCCGAGCGGUGGGGCAAAUGGAGAGGGACACAUGAGCUUUCCUACUUUCCCUUUAACGACAACAAUAAAUGGAAUCACUUGGAAUAGGUGUGGUCCGCAUCUAGUUCUUGAAAGGAACCGCUCUGGUCCUCGAAAGGAACUAAUCUGUUCGUCGGCCGCCCAAGAAAAGGAACGGCUCUGUUCUGCAUAUAUUGCCGCUCUGGUAGAACAGGAGUCAAUUCAUCAGAUUUCUCGAGUUCCCUUCUCGGCCAAUCUCAGGCUCGGCAACAUGGAGGGCGCUCCGGAUGCUCAGCAGAUGUCGUAUUUCAAUCAUGUUAAGAAUCGUCACGAGGAAAAAGGCUGUCUAUAUGCAUGUUUGUUCACGCUGUGCUGCUGCUGCUGCUGCUUUGAGACCUGCGAAUACUGCUUGGAAAGUAUCUGCUGUUGCUGCUAGUUUAACCAGAAUGUUUGAAGACCGUGUCUCUUCUUUGUGCAGUAGUUUGGAGACCUCGUGAUCCAAUAAUUGUCGUGUAAAUGCCUCAUUAUCCAAUAAUUGUCGUGUAAAUGGGUUCAUCCAAUCGAAGUAUGCGUGAUACUUGAGGUCUGUAAUAACAUGAACGUAUUUGUUUGAUAUUCCUCCUGGAGUGAAUUAGGUUUCACAUAA
Rhodamnia argentea is the source of this 680-nucleotide long non-coding RNA. RefSeq lists it as uncharacterized. NCBI's taxonomy places the organism in Eukaryota, Viridiplantae, Streptophyta, Magnoliopsida, Myrtales, Myrtaceae. The record is from RefSeq and is a predicted model, not a curated record. The transcript is spliced from 2 exons.